RNAcentral lists this long non-coding RNA (302 nucleotides) under Felis catus (domestic cat). RNAcentral's name for it is "lncRNA (ENSFCAG00000051254.1)". Lineage: Eukaryota; Metazoa; Chordata; Mammalia; Carnivora; Felidae. The record is from RNAcentral.
CCACAAGAUACUAGGUACUUCGCCCACAAGAUACUAGGUACUUCUCCCACAGGUACUAGGUACUUCUCCCACAAGGUACUAGGUACUUCUCCCACAAGAUACUAGGUACUUCCCCCACAAGGUACUGAGUACUUCUCCCCCACAAGAUACUAGGUACUUCUCCCACAAGAUACUAGGUACUUCUCCCACAAGAUACUAGGUACUUCUCCCACAAGGUACUAGGUACUUCUCCCACAAGAUACUAGGUACUUCUCCCACAAGGUACUAGGUACUUCUCCCACAAGAUACUAGGUACUUCUCCC